GACGAACGCUGGCGGCGUGCUUAACACAUGCAAGUCGAACGGUAAGGCCCUUUCGGGGGUACACGAGUGGCGAACGGGUGAGUAACACGUGGGUGAUCUGCCCUGCACUUUGGGAUAAGCCUGGGAAACUGGGUCUAAUACCGGAUAGGACUACGCGAUGCAUGUCGUGUGGUGGAAAGCUUUUGCGGUGUGGGAUGGGCCCGCGGCCUAUCAGCUUGUUGGUGGGGUGAUGGCCUACCAAGGCGACGACGGGUAGCCGGCCUGAGAGGGUGUCCGGCCACACUGGGACUGAGAUACGGCCCAGACGCCUACGGGAGGCAGCAGUGGGGAAUAUUGCACAAUGGGCGCAAGCCUGAUGCAGCGACGCCGCGUGGGGGAUGACGGCCUUCGGGUUGUAAACCCCUUUCAGCACAGACGAAGCGUAAGUGACGGUAUGUGCAGAAGAAGCACCGGCCAACUACGUG
This 464-nucleotide ribosomal RNA is filed under the name uncultured bacterium. RNAcentral describes it as "partial 16S ribosomal RNA". It matches the Rfam family "Bacterial small subunit ribosomal RNA", at positions 28 to 507 of the family's 1533-position model. The record is from RNAcentral.